UGGGGAAUAUUGCACAAUGGGCGCAAGCCUGAUGCAGCCAUGCCGCGUGUGUGAAGAAGGCCUUCGGGUUGUAAAGCACUUUCAGCGGGGAGGAAGGCGGUGAGGUUAAUAACCUCAUCGAUUGACGUUACCCGCAGAAGAAGCACCGGCUAACUCCGUGCCAGCAGCCGCGGUAAUACGGAGGGUGCAAGCGUUAAUCGGAAUUACUGGGCGUAAAGCGCACGCAGGCGGUCUGUCAAGUCGGAUGUGAAAUCCCCGGGCUCAACCUGGGAACUGCAUUCGAAACUGGCAGGCUAGAGUCUUGUAGAGGGGGGUAGAAUUCCAGGUGUAGCGGUGAAAUGCGUAGAGAUCUGGAGGAAUACCGGUGGCGAAGGCGGCCCCCUGGGCAAAGACUGACGCUCAGGUGCGAAAGCGUGGGGAGCAAACAGG
This 429-nucleotide ribosomal RNA is filed under the name Chloroflexota bacterium. Its description in RNAcentral is "Chloroflexi bacterium partial 16S ribosomal RNA". It matches the Rfam family "Bacterial small subunit ribosomal RNA", at positions 355 to 776 of the family's 1533-position model. Lineage: Bacteria; Bacillati; Chloroflexota. The record is from RNAcentral.